This 167-nucleotide non-coding RNA is filed under the name uncultured Clostridium sp. Its description in RNAcentral is "Lysine riboswitch". It matches the Rfam family "Lysine riboswitch aptamer". Rfam says of the family: Riboswitches are metabolite binding domains within certain messenger RNAs that serve as precision sensors for their corresponding targets. Allosteric rearrangement of mRNA structure is mediated by ligand binding, and this results in modulation of gene expression. Lineage: Bacteria; Bacillati; Bacillota; Clostridia; Eubacteriales; Clostridiaceae. The record is from RNAcentral.
AGAGGUAGAGGUGCGAGUACUAAGAGUAGCUAAAUGGAGCAGAAGUGUGAUGAAGUUUAGUAAAAGGAGUAAUCGCCGAAGAUUUAUAAAUAUACUUAAAGAUUUAUAUUUCUGGGUUUGUAUAUAAUAUAUACAAGACUGUCACAAGUUUUUGUGGAGUGCUACAU